This is a long non-coding RNA of Topomyia yanbarensis, 852 nucleotides long. RefSeq lists it as uncharacterized. The transcript is spliced from 4 exons. The record is from RefSeq and is a predicted model, not a curated record. Lineage: Eukaryota; Metazoa; Arthropoda; Insecta; Diptera; Culicidae.
GCAAUUUCGUCCAUUUUCUCCUUCGUUAUUCUAACAGUAGGAUGCGAAAAUUAGUUUUUCUAAAUUUUGAUAAAACUAGCAUAAAAGUAACAAAAACUUUGAUAAUUAAACGCUGUGCACGAUUGAAUAAUGAACCAACAAAAUAUGUUCGGCCGGAAGAAUCUGAAAACUUCUUUUUGGGCCGUUUAUCCAUUGCUGGAAUACGGCCUCAUUGACUGUUUGCUGGAGAAUUACCGCAUGAAACCCAUAUUAAUUCAUUCGACAACAGCAGUUGAGGACGUACUGGAGUUGCUCGAUCGAAUCAAGUUGAUCUACGAGUGGAAAAAUGAAAAUAAACGGGAACCAUCUGCUAGAGACGGGGGCGUUGACAUCUAUAGUCGGAACCAAUGACCCGGAGUUUAUUAUUCGAUUGGUUAACAUGAAUGAGUCAGUGAAAAUGCAAUUAUGUGCAAUAUUGAACAGCGAGCAAAAGAAUUAAAACGAAAGCCAUAUCAAAGUGGAAAUAUGUGUAUGCGUGUUCAACGUGUUCUUCAUGUACGGCAAUGCCCUUGUUGAACGAGUACCUCGAGUAGCUACGUAAAAACUUUCACGCGUUUGAGGGCGAGUGCAAACACACCCUCCGAGAAGACAAGAAUGAUGUUGGCGAACUUUGCUGCUUUUUGAGGGAUCUUUCAAAGUCAACUACGAAUGAUUUAUAUUGAAAAUACUAAAAAAAGAGACGACACACCAGACCUUCAAGUGAUUCAGGGUUUAAUUAAAUAAUGACUGGUCGGCGGGGGACAAUAUCGCUACUUAGAGCGAGCAUGAUGACAUCGAAUUCAGUGUACGUACCCCACCUACAAUAAAUCUAAC